This 229-nucleotide ribosomal RNA is filed under the name uncultured bacterium. Its description in RNAcentral is "partial 16S ribosomal RNA". It matches the Rfam family "Bacterial small subunit ribosomal RNA", at positions 568 to 796 of the family's 1533-position model. The record is from RNAcentral.
UCCGUAGGCGGCUUAAAAGGUGAGGUGUGAAAUCCCACGGCUCAACCGUGGAACUGCGCUUCAAACCAUUAAGCUAGAGGGAGAUAGAGGAAAGCGGAACUGAUGGUGGAGCGGUGAAAUGCGUUGAUAUCAUCAGGAACACCGGUGGCGAAAGCGGCUUUCUGGGUCUCUUCUGACGCUGAGGGACGAAAGCUAGGGGAGCGAACAGGAUUAGAUACCCUGGUAGUCC